CUACAUACAGGGCUUAAAGUCUUGUAAUUGGAAUGAUGGGAAUCUAAACCCUUCCCAGAGUAUCAAUUGGAGGGCAAGUCUGGUGCCAGCAGCCGCGGUAAUUCCAGCUCCAAUAGCGUAUAUUAAAGUUGUUGCAGUUAAGAAGCUCGUAGUUGAAUUUCUGCCUUGUCAUUAAUCUCGCUUCCGAGCGUUUUUUUAUUGACUUGGCAUCUUCUGGAUUUGGUGCCUUCGGGUACUAUUUUCCAGGAUUUACUUUGAGAAAACUAGAGUGUUUCAAACAGGCAUUCGCCUUGAAUACUACAGCAUGGAAUAAUGAAGUAGGACUUUGGUUCUAUUUUGUUGGUUAUUGAGCCAGAGUAAUGGUUAAUAGGAGCAGUUGGGGGAUCGGUUAUUUAAAAUAU
RNAcentral lists this ribosomal RNA (401 nucleotides) under Babesia microti. RNAcentral's name for it is "SSU rRNA". It matches the Rfam family "Eukaryotic small subunit ribosomal RNA", at positions 477 to 906 of the family's 1831-position model. Lineage: Eukaryota; Apicomplexa; Aconoidasida; Piroplasmida; Babesiidae. The record is from RNAcentral.